UUGCUGCUCUGUCCACUGAGAAGUGGUGCCUCAGUCCCCUCCCCUUGAGUCUGGGCUGGCCACAGGGACCCACUUGACCAGGAGACUGCAGCAGAGAGACACUGCCGGACUGCCGAGGUGGCCGAGAAGCCUCAGUCUCCACCCCGCUCUCUCUCCAGAUGUUCCCUCUCAGGACGUUCACUCUUGCCACCUGCCCACCACACUUUACAGAGCUGGGAAGUCCGAGGUCCGGUUGCCAUGGAGCUGGCUCCUCCCAAGGGCCUGGAGACAGAAGCUGCUCUGUGCCCCUCCCUGGCGUCUGGUGUUUGCUGCCAUCUUUGCUGUCCCUUGGUUUGUAGACACACAUGACUCCAGCCUCCGCCUUCAUCUUCACAUGGCAUUCUGCUGUGUGUGUCUGUGUCUUUCCCCUUUUUAGAUCUUUUCUGCUCAGAGACCCCUCCCUUUGAAGAGAGAGAGAGAGCUGUUUCUCUUCUGCCUGUUAAACCUCCAUUUCUAAAUUCCUCGUGUAUGUCUGUAUCUGAAAUUUUCCUGGUGCAAGACAAUGAACCCCAAGGUGUGUACCCCAGACAAUGUGUCUGCUUCAUAUGGGGACCUCGUCCAGGAUACCAAGGUGUGACAUUUUGAAACGGAAAAGGCAUUUAUUGAACACAGAUGUGGCCAGUCCACACAGGCUGCUCCGUCCUGUGUGUUUGUUCUCCUUGGCAUUCCCUUGUCUGGUGGACACUUCAUUCUUUUGUAAGUUUUUCCUCUGAGGUUCUCUGUCAUUGGAUUAGUAAACACUUGAUUAACUCCGAGCCAAAAAUAAACAGAAGCAAGAACGUAAAUGAUGCUGCAGAUGAAACCAGGCCUGGUGGUCUCAGAGGGCCAUGGAGCCAGCGCAGUGAUGGCCUGAGGGGCUCAGCUUGCACUCUAGCUGGAGAAUACAGCAUUUCCACGGAUGCCUUGCACAGUCCUCGGGAAAUAUCAGCCUCCAUAGGUGCCUUCAACAAAAACCUGUUCCCUUCACCUGGGAAUUCGUAA
Molecule: long non-coding RNA, 1020 nt
Filed under: Callithrix jacchus (white-tufted-ear marmoset)
Lineage: Eukaryota; Metazoa; Chordata; Mammalia; Primates; Cebidae
Description: lncRNA (ENSCJAG00000070161.1)
Source: RNAcentral